This 224-nucleotide unclassified non-coding RNA is filed under the name Hevea brasiliensis (rubber tree). The record is from RNAcentral. Lineage: Eukaryota; Viridiplantae; Streptophyta; Magnoliopsida; Malpighiales; Euphorbiaceae.
GGUAGAAUAAUAUUUGACAGAUGGAAUCCAUUGUUGCAGACUUCAAUUGACUGUAGUAACUCAUACUAUUCACCACCAAAACAAGCGCAUCUAGCAUAUAAUUGAUUCAGUCUGAUUUGGGAUCAUCCGUGUAACACCUCCCAGAUUCUUUUGAUGUACAAAUGCAGGGAAUUGUAUGUUAUAAUGAGCGUCAAAACGAGCUGUUUUUCCUAACUUUAAAAAUU